This is a non-coding RNA of Paramuricea clavata, 266 nucleotides long. The record is from the annotation of a GenBank genome assembly. Lineage: Eukaryota; Metazoa; Cnidaria; Anthozoa; Malacalcyonacea; Plexauridae.
AUGUAAUACAUCUAACUCUUUCACGUUGCUCUAAAGGCCUAAUUCCACGACGAGUGAAAUGCGAAAUAUUUCGCGCGAAAACACAGUUGUGCGAAAAUUUUCUCUCAAAGUGAUUUCCACUGCAGAGAAAAAAUUCGCCAAAACACAAGCAUUUGAUUGGUUUCGCUAUUUUGUCAUCCAAAACACAAGCAUUUGAUUGGUUUCGCUACGGAGUAGAAACGAAUUCAACUACCCGGCGUAGAGAAAUAUUUCGCAGAGAAACAUUC